CUAUAUUUAUACAUGCAUACUCCUGCCUCAAACGGUAUCUUCCAAGCACCAUUUUGCAUUUUCUGAAAGGAAAAGAAAAGUUCAACCAUGACUGAUGUGACGAUGAAUUUAAGACCUGCACUUUAUAAAGUAUGUUUCCAGGCAGGACGCCCAUUAACUUUUUUGUUUGUUUUUGUUUUUGUUUUUGUAUGAUAUGUAUUUUUUACCGUUGUCCGAAGUUGCUGUUUUAUUUUCCAUUGUUCUGAUUUAGAUUGAAAUAAAAGGGAUUGGUAGUACUAUGUAUCUAAAAGGUAUAUUAUUUUAACCAAACAGUCCUACAGCCUAGGUGUCAGUGGUUCCUCACCAUUUGCCAAGCUAAGUCCUUGCCUUCCUGACAGUGAAAACAAAAAGUAUAGUUUGUGUCUACUUUUAUAGUACUGUGUUACUGUAUUAUUUGUUUGCCGUAUGUAACAGAUACACAACAGUAAACAACAUUUACCUUCUGCUUGUCUAAAACAUUUCUUUCACUCCCCCGGUCUAGAUUCGCGUCGAGGACUUGAAGGUCCCGGAAGAAGUUUUCCUUCAUGCGUGAUUGAUACAGUAGUGUCCAAAGGUCUGAGAGCGCACUCGAAUGCGUCAAUACCGAGUCAUUUUCAUACAGUUAAAGGGGUCCCUGGCAGCAAAAUGUUUCGGACCCCCUUCUUAUCAGACAAAACAGCAUUGCCGUGGCCACCAUGGACACCAAGAGACUCCGUGAAGUACCACAGACCACAGACUUCAGCCAACGUUCUACAGUUUUGCCGUUGUGGAAGUUUUAUCAAGAUGAAAACUGGGUAAGAGGUUGCUGGAGUAGAAGGGAGGAUUGAAAAAGCACCAGAAUGUGUGUUUACGGAGAAAAACGACAUCCUGCAAAUUUCAUUGACGCAUUAAUAUGUCAAUUAAAAGACCUUAACUAUCUCUAACAUUCUGACAUCUCUACAGCUUUUAGUUUAAUUCCAUCAAUUCUUUUGUUAAUUGAUACGAUGGACAGGAGAAAUCAAAAUACGAUUAAAACGACCACAGCUUUCCACUCCAACCUCUCUCGCAAACCUGCAGAAUUUAUUGUUAAAGCAGCUUUAAUAUUCUUUGACGAAUUUACGGUGGAUAACGUUUAAU
Molecule: long non-coding RNA, 1134 nt
Organism: Ictalurus punctatus (channel catfish)
Lineage: Eukaryota; Metazoa; Chordata; Actinopteri; Siluriformes; Ictaluridae
Source: Ensembl